This 776-nucleotide long non-coding RNA is filed under the name Aotus nancymaae (Ma's night monkey). RNAcentral describes it as "lncRNA (ENSANAG00000038946.1)". Lineage: Eukaryota; Metazoa; Chordata; Mammalia; Primates; Aotidae. The record is from RNAcentral.
AGGGUGGCCCCGGGGCUGCGCCCACUGGUUCCUGCCCACGAGCAGCUGCCGGGACCCUCCCUGCCAUGUUGCUCCCUGGAAAGCACUAAGGCUCUCCGGCCUGCAGGUGGUGAAGCCGUCUAUUGUCCUUACCCCAAAGUUCCUGUCCCAUGACCAAAGCCAGCUCACCAAGGAGCUGCAGCAGCACGUAAAGUCAGUGCCAUCCCCCAUGCGAGUACCUGAGGAAGUUACACUACUCCAAGGGUGGGGUUCAGAGCACGUUUGCCCUGGGCGUGGAGGAGCGUCGUUUUCACAUCAGCACCCGGCUGGUAGCUGCUACGGCCAGUUUCCCCAACUUCAUGAAGCUGGAACAGACUUUCCUACAGGUGCAGCUCACCUGGAACAGAGGACAGCCUGUGACCCUGCAGCUCGCCUGGGCCGACAGGUUCUCAGCACACAGCACCUCCUGGGACGGCUGCCUGGCCACCGCCCCGGGGCAGCUCCAGGAAACCUGGGGCCUGGACACCCUCUGGGCGUGCAGGGCCGUAACACAGACCCCGGACAUGUUCAUUGAACAGCUUGACCUGUCCUGGGGCCAGCAGCGCAUGAGGCAGAACUUGACAUACAAGAGGCAUCAGCCAUCUCAGCCAGACAAGAUCAUCGUGGAGGCCACGCCGGAGCACGUCCUCGGGGCCUCUUGUGCCCGGCAGAGCUUCCGGGGAGAAGUACAGACUGACUAUGCACACUUGCUGCGGCACUCCCUCCACCUGGGGCUCUGUGACCUGUCCAGGGUCUGA